UGCAACAUAGCGUUAAUGCACUGAAUCCCAUUAGAACUAUGCACUUAAGCAUGCUCAGGCUAGAGUAGUACUGGGAUGGGCCCAAGACGUCCUAGUGUUUUAC
This is a non-coding RNA of Picea glauca (white spruce), 103 nucleotides long. NCBI's taxonomy places the organism in Eukaryota, Viridiplantae, Streptophyta, Pinopsida, Pinales, Pinaceae. The record is from Rfam.